Solanum verrucosum is the source of this 1446-nucleotide RNA transcript. RefSeq lists it as uncharacterized. The record is from RefSeq and is a predicted model, not a curated record. NCBI's taxonomy places the organism in Eukaryota, Viridiplantae, Streptophyta, Magnoliopsida, Solanales, Solanaceae. The transcript has 2 exons.
UCGGUGCAUGUAGAACUUGUUGGAAACUACAAAUCUGUUAGACACAUGAUGGCUAGUAGGAAACGAAGCAUGUCAAAUGAUGUAGAUAUGCAUGUCCUGUACAAGGAAUUGGAUGGAGCUUCAUGCCCUAUAUGCAUGGAUCAUCCACACAAUGCUGUUCUUCUCCUUUGUAGCUCUCAUGAUAAGGGAUGCCGGUCAUACAUUUGUGAUACAAGUUAUAGGCAUUCAAAUUGUCUGGAUCGUUUCAAAAAAACUCAAAGCCGAAAAUAGGGACAAUCCUCCCAUUAUGAUACAGGGGAACCUGGAUAUUGCUGUUGAGACACCCGCUGAACACUUGGAGCUGAGAAAUUUAAGUGAUCGUACUGUUGUUCACGGAUAUCACGAUAUACCUGCCAAUGAAGUUGUAGCAACUGGUGCAUUUCCUGGUGGAUCAGAAGAAAAUGGAAAUAGUAACAGAGAUAAUCGCAUGGAGAUGCAGGAAGGUGGUCUACAGACUUCAGAUGCUGUUACUGUAUGGGGAAGUAGUCAUGAAACAGCGAAUGCAGACAACUCAUCUGACUCAAUAUUGAAAUUGAAGUGUCCUAUGUGCCGUGGAGACGUUUUAGGUUGGAAGGUAGUGGAAGAAGCCAGAAAGUAUCUAAAUUUGAAGCAUAGAAGUUGCUCUCGUGAAUCAUGUUCAUUCCUCGGUAACUACAGAGAAUUGCGCCGGCAUGCUAGGAGAGAUCACCCAACAGCACGCCCUGCUGAUAUUGACCCUUCAAGACAGCGAGCUUGGAGACGGCUUGAGAAUCAGAGAGAGUACGAUGACAUUGUCAGUGCUGUUCGCUCUGCCAUGCCUGGUGCAGUUGUGUUUGGAGAUUAUGUGAUUGAGAAUGGCGACAGGCUAUCUGGCGAAAGGGAACGCGGCUCAGGCGCAAACGGAAGAUGGUUGAGUACCUUUUUCUUGUUUCAGAUGAUUGGCUCAAUGGAUCCAAUAUCUGAAGCAAGAGGUGGCAGGUCAAGAGCUUUGUCAAGGCACCGCCGAUCCACUGGACCUCUAUCUAGGCGCCGGUAUCCUUGGGGUGAAAACCUACUUGGUCUACAAGACCACGACAAUAAUGAAGAUGAGGGUGAACCUGAUCUUAACAUAUUGAGUGGUGAUAUGUCUAAUAAUCCAAGAAGGCGCAGGCGGUUGAUGCGGUCUAGGUCAGAUGAAGAUCAGCAGUAAGACCCCCUAAUUCAUGGGAUUGUAUUAAUGGUCUGUACAGGAGGGGACUGUUUACACUAAGAUCAAUUGGAAGUUUCUUGUGUUCCACUUUGCUACAGAAAGAUAAGAGUGCAAUUCUUAACAAAAUUUAGAAACUUGUGUGUUGGAUAUAAUAAUUUAAAGGGUGAAAACAGGUUGUCCCUGUGAUUGUGGGUGGUAGCUUUAGAAUGUAAAAUUUCAUUUGGUCUUUGAUUUCCUAA